GGGGCCAGGCGCCCCUUCCCACGAGUCGUGCGGUCCCGGGACGCGCCGCCUGGCCGGAGGCGCCGGGGCCACCGGUGUCUGCGCGCAAACCCGAAGCCCUCCCGGUUGCACACCGAGACGCGUGAGGACUGCCGCAGCCCCCGCGCUCAGAAAGAAGAGAAGACUUGGGGUUCAGAGCCGCCCCCCCUCUCCUGCAGUGGAAAUGGACUUCCCUCGGGUCCAGUACAGGACUUCCCACACAGGCCGGUGGGUGAGCGCCCUUGGCGUUGCCCUCAUUGAUCCGGCUGGACACCAGAAACAGAUCAUCUGGUGAGCAGCUGAGGCACAGACUAUCUGGGCUCCCACUAAGAGGCUGAUAUAGGACUGAAGAAGCAGCUGCUCUGUCAAACCUAGAGAUCUUGAACCUGAGGGCUGUGCACAUAUUCUUUGUAUCUUCCCUGCAGCUUGGCACCAGAUGGGUCUGCCAUCCUGACAGCAUUGGUCUUUUUUAUGACUGAGUCAUCUUUGCUUGCUGGGAAAAAGAAUCCUUACGAAGAGAAGUUGCUCCCUGGGGGAAGAAGAA
Phacochoerus africanus (Common warthog) is the source of this 562-nucleotide long non-coding RNA. RefSeq lists it as uncharacterized. The record is from RefSeq and is a predicted model, not a curated record. Lineage: Eukaryota; Metazoa; Chordata; Mammalia; Artiodactyla; Suidae. The transcript has 6 exons.